This is an RNA transcript of Nicotiana tabacum (common tobacco), 2567 nucleotides long. RefSeq lists it as uncharacterized. The record is from RefSeq and is a predicted model, not a curated record. NCBI's taxonomy places the organism in Eukaryota, Viridiplantae, Streptophyta, Magnoliopsida, Solanales, Solanaceae.
AGUAAGGGUGUUUCCACGGCCCAUAUUCCAAUUCAGAUGUCUGCCCUUUUCUAGCGCGUACAUACAAGCAAGGGAAGAGUUAUCAAGUGUACUGAAUAGAGAUUGUAAACUCAAAAUCACAGUUUUUUUUGGGUUUCGUACUUCAGAAUCAGCAUCUGUAUUUUGCAGCUCAUCAUUUCUUUCUUCUUCAGGUAGCCAGCGACUAGACAGCUUUGGAUGAUAUACUGAUGGCACUUCUUCCUACGUCAUCUUUUGGAUUGUCGUCAGAGUCCUUGGAACAAAGUGGGAAGCAGAUGGCAAACACAAACACGGAAGCACUAGCACCUCUCUCCCUGCAAAGCUCAAAUUCUUCACAGGGACCAGUGGCAAUUCUUUGGGACAUCGAGAACUGUCCUGUUCCAAGUGAUGUACGCCCUGAGGAUGUUGCUGGCAACAUCAGAAUGGCUCUGCGGGUACAUCCUGUGAUCAGAGGAGCAGUUACAAUGUUUUCUGCCUUUGGAGAUUUUAAUGCUUUCCCCAGGCGAUUAAGAGAGGGCUGCCAGAGAACUGGUGUUAAACUUAUAGAUGUCCCCAAUGGCAGGAAAGAUGCAGCCGACAAGGCCAUCUUGGUUGACAUGUUCCUUUUUGCUCUUGACAAUCCCCCACCCUCGUCCAUUAUGCUAAUAUCAGGAGAUGUUGAUUUUGCUCCCGCACUUCACAUUCUUGGUCAACGUGGAUACACUGUGAUCCUUGUCAUUCCUGGGGGGGUUGGCGUUUCGUCUGCUCUAUGUAAUGCAGGGAGGUUUGUAUGGGACUGGCCAAGUGUGGCUCGAGGUGAAGGUUUUGUGCCCCCUGCAAAGGCCUUGAUUCCUUGUCGUGGUGGUGGUGUCUCAGACAUUGCUGGGAUUCUAAUGGGUUGUUGCCAGAUAAAUGACAGCCCAUAUGGUCAGAAUGAAGAUGAAGCAAUAGUGUAUAGGGGCCUCUCACAAAGCUACUAUAAUGCAAGGGAUUUCUCAAUGAUAUCACAUUCGCUGGCUGAGUAUAAUAGCACUUCAAUUUCCACGCCAUGUUAUCCUACGGGUAUGGGAACUCAGAGUCUUCCACCUGGUUUAAAUGAAGUUUCAGCUGGAGGUCCAUCUUCACAUGACCAGAGUGACUUGACGUGGGUGCAGCCUGGGGAUGUAAAUGGUUUGAAGUGUCAGCUGGUGAAGCUGCUUGAAUUAUCUGGCGGCUGCUUGCUUCUUACACGUGUUCCUGCUGAAUACCAGAGAAUUUAUGGGAGGCCACUGUAUGUUUCAGAAUAUAGGGCAGUUAAGCUCGUGAAUCUUUUCAAGAAGAUGAGUGAUGCAAUAUCUGUUGGGGGGAAAGGCCAAAAGAAGUUUGUCUACCUCCAUAAUUCUUGUGCUGUACCAAGUGCUCCUCCCAUAACUAUAUUAAAGAGGGAUAAAGGAAAAGGAACACAAGAGGGAAAUGCCGAAGUUGUGACUGGGGUUGGAUCUUCGGAUGAGUUCUCGGAUGAUGAAAGAGCACUCAUAGAAGAGCAUGGAAGGAGUGGUGAGAAAUCUGAUAUGGGUGCAACAGUUGAAAAAAGUCUUGAAAAUUUCAAGUUUGAGCUUCAAGAGAUACUUGUGAGCUACUCUUGUCGGAUUUUUCUUGGUUGCUUUGAGGAAAUAUAUCAACAAAGGUACAAGAGGCAACUGGACUACGAGAGCUUUGGAGUGGCUGAACUUGAGCAGCUACUAGCAAAGGUGAAAGAUGUAGCGAUUGUGCAAGAGGAGCCAGUUAGCAAGAGGAAGUUUCUGGCUGCUGUUGGUGGCUAGAAGUGUUUGUCGUUUCAUUUCCUGACUAUUUACUAUCUUAACUCCUUGAGACUUGAGCUUAAGCCUUGUGCAUUGGAGGGAUGUUGAAGUUAAAGGACUCCCCAUUCUAACGCUUCCAUGAUGGUGUCAAUUAUGGCAGGCCAGUCUUGCAAAAGCAGAUCAUUUUUGUCACUUCUUUCAAUUGGGUGAUGGUUUGUGUAGCGUAUUGAAGCUCCUGCAGAAGUCUGUGAUGGCAAGUAUAGUAAACUUUGGUUUGGGAAAUACGUGAAGGGUAAAGGUCCCAAAUGUGAUCGAUUGCUUACCUCGUAUUACCAUCCAUAUCUGAAAUGAGCUUUAAGUGCAUGUCGAGCAGCUAUAAAGGAUUGAAUCUGGUCGCUUGAACAUCUAAAUGGGUGGAGAUAUGCAACCGACUGUACAAGGAUUAGUUGGCUAUCAGCAGCAAUAUGGAAUAGAGUUGUAGAGUCCAUAUGAUUGCGCAUCAUAUACAGUAGCUUGAAUAGUUGGUCGAGGACUUCAGUCAUAUAGUUGUAUGCACUUUGAUAUUGUUACUUGAGGUGUAAAGUUUGUCAUGAAACUCCAGCUGUGUUUAUCCUUUGGAUUGUUUCAUUCUGUGGACAAUCAUGGCAAUAGUCUAAUCACAUGGUUUGGAUAUUUAGGUUCGACAUUGGCAGGGGGCACUUGCUCCAUGUAACUGAUGCUUGCUACAUGCAGAAGCAUCAUAAUUGGGUUCUGAAACAAAUAUCCUCUCCGAAGGUUGUGGUUUUGCCA